RNAcentral lists this ribosomal RNA (253 nucleotides) under uncultured bacterium. Its description in RNAcentral is "partial 16S ribosomal RNA". It matches the Rfam family "Bacterial small subunit ribosomal RNA", at positions 524 to 776 of the family's 1533-position model. The record is from RNAcentral.
UACGUAGGGUCCGAGCGUUGUCCGGAGUUACUGGGCGUAAAGGGCGCGCAGGCGGCGGUGCUGGCCCGGCGUGAAAGUCCAGGGCUCAACCCUGGGGUGCCGGUCGAUACUGCCGGACUAGAGUUCGGAAGAGGCGAGUGGAAUUCCCGGUGUAGCGGUGAAAUGCGCAGAUAUCGGGAGGAACACCUAUGGCGAAGGCAGCUCGCUGGGACGUUACUGACGCUGAGACGCGAAAGCGUGGGGAGCAAACAGG